This 439-nucleotide ribosomal RNA is filed under the name uncultured bacterium. RNAcentral's name for it is "partial 16S ribosomal RNA". It matches the Rfam family "Bacterial small subunit ribosomal RNA", at positions 339 to 795 of the family's 1533-position model. The record is from RNAcentral.
CUACGGGAGGCAGCAGUAGGGAAUCUUAGACAAUGGGGGAAACCCUGAUCUAGCCAUGCCGCGUGAGUGAUGAAGGCCUUAGGGUUGUAAAGCUCUUUCGCUGGGGAAGAUAAUGACGGUACCCAGUAAAGAAACCCCGGCUAACUCCGUGCCAGCAGCCGCGGUAAUACGGAGGGGGUUAGCGUUGUUCGGAAUUACUGGGCGUAAAGCGCGCGUAGGCGGGCUAUUAAGUCAGGGGUGAAAUCCCGGGGCUCAACCCCGGAACUGCCUUUGAUACUGGUAGUCUUGAGUUCGAGAGAGGUGAGUGGAAUUCCGAGUGUAGAGGUGAAAUUCGUAGAUAUUCGGAGGAACAUCAGUGGCGAAGGCGACUCACUGGCUCGAUACUGACGCUGAGGUGCGAAAGUGUGGAGAGCAAACAGGAUUAGAUACCCUCGUAGUC